Molecule: long non-coding RNA, 1026 nt
Filed under: Macaca fascicularis (crab-eating macaque)
Lineage: Eukaryota; Metazoa; Chordata; Mammalia; Primates; Cercopithecidae
Description: lncRNA (ENSMFAG00000056453.1)
Source: RNAcentral
UUUUUUUUAACCUGGAUUACUAUUACAAUUUUCACACCAGACUGCAAUCUCAUUUCUUUCUCCACACUUUGGCGGCCAGAAUGAUCUUUCUGAGGACCACAGCAUCACAGAGCUCCUUGGUUCCAUGCCCAGUCAUGGCUCUCACUGUCUUCAGGGUAAAACCCACGCUCCUUAGAAUGGCCACGCCUCCCCGGAGCUUGGUCUCUGUGGGUUUUCCUAUAUUCAUUUCCUUUCCAUCUUGCACACUAAGCUCAGUAAUACCCAAGCAUUUAGUGUUUUCCUCAACACCUUCCUUAGUUUCCUGCCUCUGGGCCUCAGCCAGGCUGGGCCACCUGCUGGGAAGAUGUUUGCCUGCCUUUCUCACCCACAACUCAUGGAGGGAUUUCUCCUCUCAGAAGCCCUUACUGCCCCUCCUCUGGGUUCCCAAGGAUGUACAUUUUAACAUAGCCUAACUACAGUAUAUUUAAUGUAUUAAACACUAAUGUGCUAAAUAUGUUUGUCUCUCUCUUUUGAAAACAUGUAUCAACCAGCUGUUUGUUGUUGUUGUUGUUUGUUUUACAGAAAGUCUCACUCUGUCACCCAGGCUGGAGUGCAGUGGCACGAUCUCGGCUCACUUUAACCUCAGCCUCCCGGGUUCAAGCGAUUCUUGUGCCUCAGCCUCCCGAGUAGCACAGAUGUGCACCACAUCUGGCUACCAACCAGCUGUCUUAUUCAAAGGUGUGUCCCCACCAUCUUAUUACACAAAUAUUUGUUAAUGUAAAAUUGCUAAUUUAAAAAGAAGCUUAGGCUUAUCUCUGACUCCCCUUUCAUUUUCACAUGCACAUCUAAUCCAACACGUGCUGCCGGUUCUGCCUUUAAAAUAUAUCCAGAAUCCAACCACUUCUCACCCAUUUACCCAUUUUCUGCCUGGACAACAACUGCGGGUCUCCCUACCCGCCCUGUUCCCCACCCUCCUUCUGUUCUCACACAGCAGCCAGCGUGAUGCUUUGAAAACAUCAAUCGGCUCCUGUCACCCCAGUGCGCAAA